This 448-nucleotide long non-coding RNA is filed under the name Ananas comosus (pineapple). RNAcentral's name for it is "long non-coding RNA (ACOM_LNC013704)". Lineage: Eukaryota; Viridiplantae; Streptophyta; Magnoliopsida; Poales; Bromeliaceae. The record is from RNAcentral.
AGGUGAAGUGGUCAUUUCGAUAGCUCGCGCUUCAGGUUUCCUGCUUUCUCUCUCUCAAGGGGGGCAUUCGAUUUAUUUUUGUUGCGAUGCUUUUGGAUGAGUUGCUUAUAGGGAUUUGGUAGGGAGGAUGGUUUUCAAUUGAUUUGGGAUAAAAAAAGGGAUUUUUUUUUAGUUGUUGAAUUUGGAGAUUAUUUGUGGGUAACAUAAAAAUUGGUGUGGAUUUUUGUCGAAUGAAUUUUAAUUUUAAUUUUUUCCUAUUAUAAUAAUAUGCUGAGGAAAAAAGUUUUUUUCCUGGGCAGGGGUUGGGGUGGGCGGUGGUGGAGACUCAAUAACGCGUUAUUUGUUUGGAACUUUUAAGAAUUUGAGGUUGGUGAAAGUUUUUCUUUUUAAAGGUGAAAAAAAUUGGUGUUUUGGAUAUGAGUUUUUGUUUUCUUUUUUUUUUUUUUUU